GGGUUGUGAGGUUAAGCGACUAAGCGUACACGGUGGAUGCCCUGGCAGUCAGAGGCGAUGAAGGACGUGCUAAUCUGCGAUAAGCGUCGGUGAGGUGAUAUGAACCGUUAUAACCGGCGAUUUCCGAAUGGGGAAACCCAGUGUGUUUCGACACACUAUCAUUAACUGAAUCCAUAGGUUAAUGAGGCGAACCGGGGGAACUGAAACAUCUAAGUACCCCGAGGAAAAGAAAUCAACCGAGAUUCCCCCAGUAGCGGCGAGCGAACGGGGAGGAGCCCAGAGCCUGAAUCAGUGUGUGUGUUAGUGGAAGCGUCUGGAAAGGCGCGCGAUACAGGGUGACAGCCCCGUACACAAAAAUGCACAUAUUGUGAGCUCGAUGAGUAGGGCGGGACACGUGGUAUCCUGUCUGAAUAUGGGGGGACCAUCCUCCAAGGCUAAAUACUCCUGACUGACCGAUAGUGAACCAGUACCGUGAGGGAAAGGCGAAAAGAACCCCGGCGAGGGGAGUGAAAAAGAACCUGAAACCGUGUACGUACAAGCAGUGGGAGCCUCUUUAUGGGGUGACUGCGUACCUUUUGUAUAAUGGGUCAGCGACUUAUAUUCUGUAGCAAGGUUAACCGAAUAGGGGAGCCGAAGGGAAACCGAGUCUUAACUGGGCGUUAAGUUGCAGGGUAUAGACCCGAAACCCGGUGAUCUAGCCAUGGGCAGGUUGAAGGUUGGGUAACACUAACUGGAGGACCGAACCGACUAAUGUUGAAAAAUUAGCGGAUGACUUGUGGCUGGGGGUGAAAGGCCAAUCAAACCGGGAGAUAGCUGGUUCUCCCCGAAAGCUAUUUAGGUAGCGCCUCGUGAAUUCAUCUCCGGGGGUAGAGCACUGUUUCGGCAAGGGGGUCAUCCCGACUUACCAACCCGAUGCAAACUGCGAAUACCGGAGAAUGUUAUCACGGGAGACACACGGCGGGUGCUAACGUCCGUCGUGAAGAGGGAAACAACCCAGACCGCCAGCUAAGGUCCCAAAGUCAUGGUUAAGUGGGAAACGAUGUGGGAAGGCCCAGACAGCCAGGAUGUUGGCUUAGAAGCAGCCAUCAUUUAAAGAAAGCGUAAUAGCUCACUGGUCGAGUCGGCCUGCGCGGAAGAUGUAACGGGGCUAAACCAUGCACCGAAGCUGCGGCAGCGACACUAUGUGUUGUUGGGUAGGGGAGCGUUCUGUAAGCCUGUGAAGGUGGCCUGUGAGGGUUGCUGGAGGUAUCAGAAGUGCGAAUGCUGACAUAAGUAACGAUAAAGCGGGUGAAAAGCCCGCUCGCCGGAAGACCAAGGGUUCCUGUCCAACGUUAAUCGGGGCAGGGUGAGUCGACCCCUAAGGCGAGGCCGAAAGGCGUAGUCGAUGGGAAACAGGUUAAUAUUCCUGUACUUGGUGUUACUGCGAAGGGGGGACGGAGAAGGCUAUGUUGGCCGGGCGACGGUUGUCCCGGUUUAAGCGUGUAGGCUGGUUUUCCAGGCAAAUCCGGAAAACCAAGGCUGAGGCGUGAUGACGAGGCACUACGGUGCUGAAGCGACAAAUGCCCUGCUUCCAGGAAAAGCCUCUAAGCAUCAGGUAACAUCAAAUCGUACCCCAAACCGACACAGGUGGUCAGGUAGAGAAUACCAAGGCGCUUGAGAGAACUCGGGUGAAGGAACUAGGCAAAAUGGUGCCGUAACUUCGGGAGAAGGCACGCUGAUAUGUAGGUGAAGCGACUUGCUCGUGGAGCUGAAAUCAGUCGAAGAUACCAGCUGGCUGCAACUGUUUAUUAAAAACACAGCACUGUGCAAACACGAAAGUGGACGUAUACGGUGUGACGCCUGCCCGGUGCCGGAAGGUUAAUUGAUGGGGUUAGCGGUAACGCGAAGCUCUUGAUCGAAGCCCCGGUAAACGGCGGCCGUAACUAUAACGGUCCUAAGGUAGCGAAAUUCCUUGUCGGGUAAGUUCCGACCUGCACGAAUGGCGUAAUGAUGGCCAGGCUGUCUCCACCCGAGACUCAGUGAAAUUGAACUCGCUGUGAAGAUGCAGUGUACCCGCGGCAAGACGGAAAGACCCCGUGAACCUUUACUAUAGCUUGACACUGAACAUUGAGCCUUGAUGUGUAGGAUAGGUGGGAGGCUUUGAAGUGUGGACGCCAGUCUGCAUGGAGCCGACCUUGAAAUACCACCCUUUAAUGUUUGAUGUUCUAACGUUGGCCCGUAAUCCGGGUUGCGGACAGUGUCUGGUGGGUAGUUUGACUGGGGCGGUCUCCUCCUAAAGAGUAACGGAGGAGCACGAAGGUUGGCUAAUCCUGGUCGGACAUCAGGAGGUUAGUGCAAUGGCAUAAGCCAGCUUGACUGCGAGCGUGACGGCGCGAGCAGGUGCGAAAGCAGGUCAUAGUGAUCCGGUGGUUCUGAAUGGAAGGGCCAUCGCUCAACGGAUAAAAGGUACUCCGGGGAUAACAGGCUGAUACCGCCCAAGAGUUCAUAUCGACGGCGGUGUUUGGCACCUCGAUGUCGGCUCAUCACAUCCUGGGGCUGAAGUAGGUCCCAAGGGUAUGGCUGUUCGCCAUUUAAAGUGGUACGCGAGCUGGGUUUAGAACGUCGUGAGACAGUUCGGUCCCUAUCUGCCGUGGGCGCUGGAGAACUGAGGGGGGCUGCUCCUAGUACGAGAGGACCGGAGUGGACGCAUCACUGGUGUUCGGGUUGUCAUGCCAAUGGCACUGCCCGGUAGCUAAAUGCGGAAGAGAUAAGUGCUGAAAGCAUCUAAGCACGAAACUUGCCCCGAGAUGAGUUCUCCCUGAGACUUAGAGUCUCCUGAAGGAACGUUGAAGACGACGACGUUGAUAGGCCGGGUGUGUAAGCGCAGCGAUGCGUUGAGCUAACCGGUACUAAUGAACCGUGAGGCUUAACCUUACAACGCCGAAGC
This 2926-nucleotide ribosomal RNA is filed under the name Escherichia coli. RNAcentral describes it as "bacterial LSU rRNA". It matches the Rfam family "Bacterial large subunit ribosomal RNA". Lineage: Bacteria; Pseudomonadati; Pseudomonadota; Gammaproteobacteria; Enterobacterales; Enterobacteriaceae. The record is from RNAcentral.